Actinia tenebrosa (Australian red waratah sea anemone) is the source of this 482-nucleotide long non-coding RNA. RefSeq lists it as uncharacterized. The record is from RefSeq and is a predicted model, not a curated record. Lineage: Eukaryota; Metazoa; Cnidaria; Anthozoa; Actiniaria; Actiniidae.
CACCAUUAUACCGUCUUACAUAACCGCUAAAGAAACCUGAACAGCACUGCCUCAAAGAUCUUAUUCCCUCUGACACCAUGAAGCAAAGCAUCUUUGCCAUUAGUGCCUUGUUUUUACUCGUCACUUUGUCUACUUUCCAACAAUCUCUGUCUAUGUCUUCGGGUGCGGGAAAUUGGGCGACACGAGAAUACAAAGAGGCAAAGAGAGCGAUUGGAACGAUGUGUAAAGUGGCACGAGAGCACUGCAAAAGACACUUCGAUGAAGAACAGAAGAGCCGCUUUCUGCAGAAGUGAAGAAAUGACGCCGUUGAAGAACCAGCUACCGGACAGUAUGAUGAAAUAUAGCCGAUGAUCAAAAUAAAAAAUAUGGGAAUGCUAGCUGUGUUAUUAUAAAAACAGUACUCUUCCAAACACUGUAGUUUGCAUUAAAUGUACUCACACCAAAUAUAAUAUACAUGGGUUAAUCUCAAAUUAAAUAAAUCU